Molecule: ribosomal RNA, 429 nt
Filed under: Bacteroidota bacterium
Lineage: Bacteria; Pseudomonadati; Bacteroidota
Description: Bacteroidetes bacterium partial 16S ribosomal RNA
Rfam family: Bacterial small subunit ribosomal RNA
Source: RNAcentral
UAGGGAAUCUUCCGCAAUGGACGCAAGUCUGACGGAGCAACGCCGCGUGAGUGAAGAAGGAUUUCGGUUCGUAAAACUCUGUUGUUAGAGAAGAACAGCGCAUAGAGUAACUGUUAUGCGUGUGACGGUAUCUAACCAGAAAGCCACGGCUAACUACGUGCCAGCAGCCGCGGUAAUGCGUAGGUGGCAAGCGUUGUCCGGAUUUAUUGGGCGUAAAGCGAGCGCAGGCGGUCAAUUAAGUCUGAUGUGAAAGCCCCCGGCUCAACCGGGGAGGGUCAUUGGAAACUGGUUGACUUGAGUGCAGAAGAGGAGAGUGGAAUUCCAUGUGUAGCGGUGAAAUGCGUAGAUAUAUGGAGGAACACCAGUGGCGAAGGCGACUCUCUGGUCUGUAACUGACGCUGAGGCUCGAAAGCGUGGGUAGCAAACAGG